GAACUUAGCAGAGAUGCUUUGGUGCCUUCGGGAACUCUGAGACAGGUGCUGCAUGGCUGUCGUCAGCUCGUGUUGUGAAAUGUUGGGUUAAGUCCCGNAACGAGCGCAACCCUUAUCCUUGUUGCCAGCGGCUCGGCCGGGAACUCAAAGGAGACUGCCGGUGAUAAACCGGAGGAAGGUGGGGAUGACGUCAAGUCAUCAUGGCCCUUACGGCCAGGGCUACACACGUGCUACAAUGGCGCAUACAAAGAGAAGCGACCUCGCGAGAGCAAGCGGACCUCAUAAAGUGCGUCGUAGUCCGGAUUGGAGUCUGCAACUCGACUCCAUGAAGUCGGAAUCGCUAGUAAUCGUAGAUCAGAAUGCUACGGUGAAUACGUUCCCGGGCCUUGUACACACCGCCCGUCACACCAUGGGAGUGGGUUGCAAAAGAAGUAGGUAGCUUAACCUUCGGGAGGGCGCUUACCACUUUGUGAUUCAUGACUGGGGUGAAGUCGUAACAAGGUAGGCGUACGUGU
RNAcentral lists this ribosomal RNA (515 nucleotides) under uncultured bacterium. RNAcentral describes it as "bacterial SSU rRNA". It matches the Rfam family "Bacterial small subunit ribosomal RNA", at positions 993 to 1509 of the family's 1533-position model. The record is from RNAcentral.